UCAGUCUCCUCCUCUGUGAGGGUCAAGCGCGGACGGGAGGAAGGAGGAGAGCGGACAGCCCGCAGUGCACGGGGCAGCCUGACACCCGAGGGCGCAGCCAGAGGACACCCAAAGCCGCCGCACUGCACCCACCGGGUCCCCACUCACCCCUUCCCGCCCGCGGCUCCGGGGACUGAAUGAAACUUCCUCAUUACAGGCGCUUCCCUGAGCUGCAAAUUUUAAGGAAAUUCUUAAAUUAAUUUUUUUUUUUUUUUUUUUUUUUUUAAAGCAAUAAUUUUAUUCUUUUUCUUUUUAUUUAUUAUUUUUCCUGCAGCUUGUUGCACAGGAAGUUCUGCUUUGUGACUCUCCCUGCACGUGUAUUUGUAGUGCACCAUCCCAUUGGGGGCUGUAGGUCACCUGACAAGUUCAGAUUCAAGAACCAAAUUUUGGAAUUUUUAAACUUUUUUUUUUUUUUUUUUCACAAUAUUUACAUUUGAGAAGAAGAAAUAUUAUUAAUAAUAAACAAUAAUAAUAAUAUAAUUUUUUUUUAACCUUUUGGUAGUAUUUGCACUUGGUGUACACACAUAUAUAUAGCGGUCAUGUCUGCACCUGACGUGUUCCCACCUGCGCCGGAGGUGUCUGCCGCCGCGCACAUCUCGUCUUUUGAGAAAUAUCAAGAAAUGUAUGAGAAAUCGGUGCGAGAACCCAGUGAGUUUUGGGGAGAAAUUGCAAAUGAAUUCUACUGGAGGGUGCCUCCCGCUCAGCCGUUCUUGAACUACAACUUUGACGUUACUAAAGGGAAGAUUUUUAUCGAAUGGAUGAAAGGAGCGGUCACCAAUAUAUGUUACAACGUCCUGGAUAGAAACGUCCAUGAGAAGAAACUGGGCGAUAAAGUGGCAUUUUAUUGGGAAGGGAAUGAACCCGGAGACUCGACCUCCAUCACUUACGCAGAGCUCCUGAAAAAAGUGUGCCAGUUUGCCAAUGUUCUACGUGACCAAGGUGUUAAAAAAGGAGACCGCGUGUCCAUAUACAUGCCCAUGGUGAUUGAGCUUGUUGUAGCUAUGCUGGCAUGUGCUCGAAUCGGAGCCAUUCACUCCAUUGUGUUUGCAGGGUUUUCUGCGGAGUCUCUGUGCGAGCGGAUCUUGGACUCUCACUGCACCCUCCUUAUUACAGCAGAUGGCUUUUUUCGUGGGGAUAAGUUAAUUAACCUGAAGCUGAUUGCAGAUGAGGCAUUAAAGAAGUGUACAGAGAAGAACUAUUCCCUGAAGAAGUGCAUCGUGUUGAAACACUUGGCGAGAGAUGAUGCGAUCUGUGAUGGAUCCAGCAAAACCUCACCUCCGUGCAAGAGACUUUGCCAGAAUGUACAGGGAAACAAGCAGAACAGAGCGAGGCAAGCUGUACCCCAGACCACGUGGAAUCCAUCUGUGGACUUGUGGUGGCACGAACUUGUAAAGAAAGCCAGCAUGGAGUGUGAGCCCGAGUGGUGUGAUGCCGAAGAUGAGCUGUUCAUUCUGUACACCAGUGGGUCCACCGGCAAACCCAAGGGAGUUGUCCAUUCUGUGGGGGGUUACAUGAUCUUCACUGCCACCACAUUUAAGUAUGUGUUUGACUACCACCAAGACGAUGUAUACUGGUGCACUGCCGACAUUGGAUGGAUAACCGGGCACUCCUACCUCACCUAUGGACCUCUAGCCAAUGGGGCAACCAGUGUAUUGUUUGAAGGGCUUCCUAUAUACCCCGACAUCUCCCGCAUGUGGCAGAUCAUUGACAAGUACAACGUAAGCAAAUUCUACACAGCGCCGACAGCAAUCCGCCUGCUGAUGAAGUACGGAGAGGAGCCCGUGAAGAGGUAUAGUAGAAAAUCCCUGAAGAUUUUGGGAACAGUCGGAGAACCAAUUAAUCCUGAAGCCUGGCUUUGGUAUUACAAUGUGGUAGGAGAGAAGAGAUGCCCGAUUGUCGACACUUUUUGGCAGACAGAAACGGGAGGUCAUGUGUUAACUCCACUUCCAGGUGCGACAGCAACCAAGCCGGGUUCAGCAACUUUUCCCUUUUUUGGAGUUGUUCCUGCCAUCUUGAAUGAGUCUGGGGAGGAACUUGAAGGAGAAGCUGAAGGUUAUCUAGUAUUUAAACAACCCUGGCCUGCACUCAUGCGCACAGUCUACGGGAACCAUGAACGCUUCGAGAUGACCUACUUCAAGAAGUUCCCUGGAUUUUAUGUGACAGGAGAUGGCUGCAGAAGAGACAAGGACGGUUAUUAUUGGAUUACUGGAAGGAUAGAUGACAUGCUUAAUGUAUCUGGUCACUUGCUGAGCACAGCGGAGGUGGAAUCCGCACUGGUUGAACACUCAUCUGUAGCCGAGGCUGCUGCCGUCAGCCACCCGCACCCAGUAAAGGGGGAAUGUCUGUAUUGCUUCGUCACCCUACGUGAUGGACACGAGUUUACUAAAUCGCUAACCGAUCAACUAAAAAAAUUAGUAAGAGAAAAGAUUGGACCAAUUGCCACUCCAGAUUAUAUCCAGAAUGCCCCUGGACUGCCCAAAACACGCUCAGGUAAAAUAAUGAGACGGGUGUUAAGAAAAAUUGCCAAAAAUGACCGAGAACUGGGCGACGUUUCGACUUUGGCGGACACGGCCGUCCUACAACAACUGUUUGAAAACCGGUGUCAGACUAUUCAGUCGUAACGGAGAACGUAAAAAUGUCCACUGUGAAUCUCAGAGUUCAAUACCUCCCGGAUGUCGCAGCCAUAAUAGUCAUUCGGUGUCUACAAGGGAUUUUGUGUGUUUGUAUAUUUUGGAAGAAUUGAGUCUUGUGUGUUUUUAUGAUUAUUAUUUUUUUUUUUUACAUGGAAUAUGUUCCGUGGUUUCUUUAGCCACGUUCUGUAAAACCAAAAGUUGGUGAACCGGCUGAGCAGAAAACCAGAAAUGCUAAGCUGUCGGCGCUCCUGACUUCUCUCUUGGAACGUGCACCCUGGUUUGGAAACACUGCCUGACAACCAUGCUCUGCCGCUCCUCUGUUAUUCCUCCUGGAAAAUGUUUUGAAUCAUUGGCUGUCCGGUCAUGAUGGGUGUUGUAAUGUUGCAACAGCUGGAGGCACUCUGUUUGGGAAACACUGCUUUAAACAAUCUAAAGGCUAUGUGUACACAUUAGUUGGGACUGACUGACUCCAUAGACCAGGUAUGUUUGAUUUAGUUUAGGAGAUAAGCAGCCAUCAGAGGAGUCUGGCAGCAGCUUACCUCUCUUCUCCCCAUUCAGAACACAUGAACGCUCAGCUGAGCUGAACAUUCAUGUAUAUGGGGUGAACGGGAGGAGAUGGCUAUUGAAUGGUGUAUUGGUUAUCCAGGAGUGGAAAAUCAAAAGCCGCUUUCUUACAAAAACAGCGCCACGCCUGUCUGCAGGUUGUGUGUGGUAUUACAACUCUGCUCCAUUCACUUUAAUGGAACUGAGCUGCAAUACCAUACACAACCUGAGGACAGCUGUGGUGCUGCUUCUUAAAGAGAACCUCUCAUGAUCUUGUUAAAUUUUAUAAUCCUCCCAGGUCACUGCCCCCAUCACGAUAAACCACCCCCUGCCUUUAUUUUUAUUAUUUUUUUAGUUUUCUACCUUGAUAUUGCUCUGUAUUUUCUGCUCGCUCAGAUUCCCAGACUGGGAAGGGGCGUUCCCCAGAAGGUGUGACAUCAUCUGAAGCCAUACAGGGGAGAACUUCCUCCCUCACUCUGCUACACACAGCCUAGAGCAGUUCAGUGUGAGAUGAGCUAUGAUUGGCUAAGGCUGCACACACUCCUCAGUAUUUCCUGAUUUUGGACUUCUGCCAGGCCAACAGUCCAAAGUCUGUGCAAGAGAUGGGGGGGGGGGGGUGCUCUGGACAAGUAGGGAGACACCUAGUGGCAGCUUUUUUUAAACACAAAUAAAAAAUAGAAAACUUCUUCAUUUUUAAACAAAGUGCGUUAGAAAGAUUUUUUUUUUAUGUACCAUAAGGAGUGCAAUAGCAAAAAAAAAUUAACCCUGUAAAGGCUCAUUCACACUACAGAUUUUCGGAGCGGAAUUAUGCUUGGGGGGGGGGGGGGGAAAGAACAAAUAGUUCAGCAGCUUUUCCGCAUUCACACUACGGAAUUUCGGCAGCGGAAAUUCCGGACCCCAGACUCCGCAAAAAGAACGAACGUGUUUGUUCUAUCGCGCAAGAAAAUUCAUUGCGGUCUAUGGAGUUCGCACAUUCCCGAGCGGUCCCAGCGCCUAUUCCAGAUGGAAUCUUCGCCCCGAAAUAUCUUUUGGGGGGGGGGGGAGAUUCCGUAGUGUGAAUAAGCCCUAAAACUACCAGCUGUAAAGGGGAAAUGUAUCAUUAGUGGCGAUUUUUUUGCACAAUGCGAAACCUGCUGCGCAAGUGUGUAGUUGUUCCCAGUUUCAGUGCAAAAAUCUAUUAUGUUGCGCAUGUAACGUGAUAAAUUUGCGCAAAUGACAAGAUAGUGGGGGGGGGGGGGGGAGGAUGAAAAAGCUCAUACACAAUCCUAUGCCAGAUGGUAACCGAAGGACUUUUGAGCGAAAAAAAUAAAUAAAAAUUGCGCAAGUGAUAUAUUCAGUGCAUUUACUUAAGCGUACUAGAAAAAUAGGCAAAAAUACGAAGGCAGCGCGGACAAACUAAAAAUAGCGCAUAAUGAGAUAAUGAUUUAGGCAAAAAAUGUACAAAAGUUAAAACACACUGAGCACGCAAUUUUGUAGGUAGGUGUACGCUGGUAUAAACAUUGAGAGAUGGCUGGAUGCAGGGUUCUUAAGGUUAUCUUAUUGGAAAGUCUUAGCAAUAACUUAGAGCAGUGUUUUACCUACCAGGGUGCCUCCAGCUGUUGCAAAACUACAAGUCCCAGCAUGCCCGGGGUUGGGAAACCCUGCUGUAGAUUGUAGUUUGCACAGUGAACAUGUCCAUGACAGAUCAGUUUAGAUUUGUCCAAUUUUUAAAUUUACAGAACAGAC
RNA transcript from Hyla sarda, 4940 nucleotides. It is a transcript of the gene named acyl-CoA synthetase short chain family member 2, with no coding region annotated. The transcript has 20 exons. The record is from RefSeq and is a predicted model, not a curated record. Lineage: Eukaryota; Metazoa; Chordata; Amphibia; Anura; Hylidae.